AGAUUGAACGCUGGCGGCAUGCCUUACACAUGCAAGUCGAACGGCAGCACGGGAGCAAUCCUGGUGGCGAGUGGCGAACGGGGUGAGUAAUACAUCGGAACGUGCCCAGUAGUGGGGGAUAGCCCGGCGAAAGCCGGAUUAAUACCGCAUACGACCUACGGGUGAAAGCGGGGGAUCGACAAGACCUUGCGCUAUUGGAGCGGCCGAUGUCAGAUUAGCGUUAGUUGGGUAGGGGUAAAACGCCUAACCGAAGGGCGAACGUAUCGUAGUAGCUGGUCUGAGGAGGACGACCAGCCACACGUGGGACCUGACGACGACCGGCCAGACCGUCCGUACGGGAGGCGA
This 345-nucleotide ribosomal RNA is filed under the name uncultured soil bacterium. Its description in RNAcentral is "bacterial SSU rRNA". It matches the Rfam family "Bacterial small subunit ribosomal RNA", at positions 26 to 354 of the family's 1533-position model. The record is from RNAcentral.